This 132-nucleotide small RNA is filed under the name Salmonella enterica. Its description in RNAcentral is "RtT sRNA". It matches the Rfam family "RtT RNA". From Rfam's summary of the family: This family represents a bacterial cis-regulatory element known as RtT RNA. The exact function of RtT is unknown although it is thought that it may be involved in changing the cellular response in relation to amino acid starvation. The record is from RNAcentral. RNAcentral also lists the same sequence under 6 other names. Lineage: Bacteria; Pseudomonadati; Pseudomonadota; Gammaproteobacteria; Enterobacterales; Enterobacteriaceae.
GUUUGCACUUGUCGGGGAAGGGUGAGAACCUUCGAUUAAGGUUCGACUCGAGCGAAAGCGAGAGAACGUUGCCAACGGCAACGGCCCGUAGGAUGAGGAGCGAAGCGACGAAUAAUCCUUCCCCCACCACCA